UCCCAGCUGGCUCAGACAGUAAAGAAUCUGCCUGCAAUGAAGGAGACCCAGGUUCAAUCCCUGGGUUGGGAU
Molecule: transfer RNA, 72 nt
Organism: Ovis aries (sheep)
Lineage: Eukaryota; Metazoa; Chordata; Mammalia; Artiodactyla; Bovidae
Rfam family: tRNA
About the family: Transfer RNA (tRNA) molecules are approximately 80 nucleotides in length. Their secondary structure includes four short double-helical elements and three loops (D, anti-codon, and T loops).
Source: Rfam